GGAGUUAGCCGGUGCUUCUUCUGCGAGUAACGUCACAGAUGUAAGGUAUUAACUUACACCCUUUCCUCCUCGCUGAAAGUGCUUUACAACCCGAAGGCCUUCUUCACACACGCGGCAUGGCUGCAUCAGGGUUUCCCCCAUUGUGCAAUAUUCCCCACUGCUGCCUCCCGUAGGAGUCUGGGCCGUGUCUCAGUCCCAGUGUGGCUGAUCAUCCUCUCAGACCAGCUAGGGAUCGUCGCCUAGGUGAGCCUUUACCUCACCUACUAGCUAAUCCCACCUGGGCUUAUCCAUCAGCGCAAGGCCCGAAGGUCCCCUGCUUUCCCCCGUAGGGCGUAUGCGGUAUUAGCAGUCGUUUCCAACUGUUAUCCCCACAAAUGGGCAAAUUCCCAGGCAUUACUCACCCGUCCGCCGCUCGUCAUCUUCAAAAGCAAGCUUUUGAAAUGUUACCGCUCGACUUGCAUGUGUUAGGCCUGCCGCCAGCGUUCAAUCUGAGCCAGU
Molecule: ribosomal RNA, 498 nt
Filed under: uncultured bacterium
Lineage: Bacteria
Description: partial 16S ribosomal RNA
Source: RNAcentral